AUUGAACGCUGGCGGCAUGCUUUACACAUGCAAGUCGAACGGUAACAGGUUAAGCUGACGAGUGGCGAACGGGUGAGUAAUGCAUCGGAACGUGCCCGAUCGUGGGGGAUAACGCAGCGAAAGCUGCGCUAAUACCGCAUACGAUCUGAGGAUGAAAGCGGGGGACCGUAAGGCCUCGCGCGAUCGGAGCGGCCGAUGUCAGAUUAGGUAGUUGGUGGGGUAAAGGCUCACCAAGCCAACGAUCUGUAGCUGGUCUGAGAGGACGACCAGCCACACUGGGAAUGAGACACGGCCCAGACUACUACGGGAGGCAGCAGUGGGGAAUUUUGGACAAUGGGCGAAAGCCUGAUCCAGUAAUGCCGCGUGCAGGAAGAAGGCCUUCGGGUUGUAAACUGCUUUUGUACGGAGCGAAAAGGCCCUCUCUAAUACAGUGGGCUCAUGACGGUACCGUAAGAAUAAGCACCGGCUAACUACGUGCCAGCCGCCGCCGUAA
Molecule: ribosomal RNA, 493 nt
Filed under: uncultured bacterium
Lineage: Bacteria
Description: partial 16S ribosomal RNA
Rfam family: Bacterial small subunit ribosomal RNA
Source: RNAcentral